GAUGAACGCUGGCGGCGUGCCUAAUACAUGCAAGUCGAGCGAACAGACGAGAAGCUUGCUUCUCUGAUGUUAGCGGCGGACGGGUGAGUAACACGUGGAUAACCUACCUAUAAGACUGGGAUAACUUCGGGAAACCGGAGCUAAUACCGGAUGAUAUUUUGAACCGCAUGGUUCAAUAGUGAAAGACGGUUUUGCUGUCACUUAUAGAUGGAUCCGCGCGUCAUUAGCUAGUUGGUAAGGUAACGGCUUACCAAGGCAACGAUGCGUAGCCGACCUGAGAGGGUGAUCGGCCACACUGGAACUGAGACACGGUCCAGACUCCUACGGGAGGCAGCAGUAGGGAAGCUUCCGCAAUGGGCGAAAGCCUGACGGAGCAACGCCGCGUGAGUGAUGAAGGUCUUCGGAUCGUAAAACUCUGUUAUUAGGGAAGAACAUAUGUGUAAGUAACUAUGCACAUCUUGACGGUACCUAAUCAGAAAGCCACGGCUAACUACGUG
This 497-nucleotide ribosomal RNA is filed under the name uncultured bacterium. RNAcentral's name for it is "partial 16S ribosomal RNA". It matches the Rfam family "Bacterial small subunit ribosomal RNA", at positions 28 to 507 of the family's 1533-position model. The record is from RNAcentral.